CCACUUCCGCCCUCUGUACCCUGUGGCUUUCCCCCUCUUCUUUCUCUCUCUGUCUCUGUUUGAGGAGGAGCAGCUGCCGCCCCAGCGUUCGCACCCCGUUCACGGUGUCGCGCGCACGCUUCUUCUCGGGCGCGCUUCCUCCUCCUCCUCCUCCGGGCUCGACCCGAGGCUUCCGGCAGCAGUCUCCGGGUGUCGGAUUUUGUAAAAUAAUUAACGUAACUGAAAGGUGCAGCAGCGGGAUCGGCCCGGGCGGGGCGCCUCCAAAGAGAGGGACCCCGAACAAAGAAAUCCCGGGGCCGUUCCACGCUUGGGUCCCGGACACCCGCCCCUCGCGCGCUGUCCGCGCGUCCCUUAGUCCCGCGGUGACUUUUGGUCUGGGGUCUUCUACCGUCGUCUCGGAUUCUUCUUCUGUAUAGCUGUGGGCGGUGCGUUAUUCCACAGGUGCUGCUGCGCCGAUGCUCCGUACGUUCGCAGUAGCGGGUAGAGCGGAAGGCUCUGUGGCCAGGGAAGAGCGGCACGGACACGUUCCUGCUCGCUCCGUUGCACCGGAAUUUCGACGGCUGGGUUCGGCCGCUAAAUUGAUGGCGCUACCGGAAGAAAUUUCAGAAAAAAAGGGUGGCUUUUUCGUCGAUCUCUUUGUGAGAGUAUCAAAUCAGGCGGCGGUAAAUACGUAGAAGCAGCUGGGCGUACUACGGCGUGUACCGGACAGCGUUGGCGUGCCGCUCUGCUAGCAGCGGAGAGCCAGAUGAGGAUGCCCGUGAUAUGAGAAAAGCUCUGUCCAGAGAUAUGGAGACGAAAUCAGUUGUACCUCACCCUGUGACACCGGAAGACAUUGAGUAACUGUAAGCUGUGAUGCUCAGUGAAAUUACUAAGAGCGUUAAGUUUCCCGUGCCUUUGCUUUCACUCUCCCAUUCUCUUGUCUUGCGGCACGUCGCAUUUGUUGAGGCCGUGGAAGCGACACCGGGAGCGAUGGGUUGUCAGAACCAGGUCCUCCUGCCUGUCGCUGGUUUUGCUUACCUUCGCCGUCUCUGUGUACCAGCCUG
Long non-coding RNA from Grus americana (Whooping crane), 1043 nucleotides. RefSeq lists it as uncharacterized. The transcript has 3 exons. Lineage: Eukaryota; Metazoa; Chordata; Aves; Gruiformes; Gruidae. The record is from RefSeq and is a predicted model, not a curated record.